RNAcentral lists this unclassified non-coding RNA (216 nucleotides) under Hevea brasiliensis (rubber tree). Lineage: Eukaryota; Viridiplantae; Streptophyta; Magnoliopsida; Malpighiales; Euphorbiaceae. The record is from RNAcentral.
UAUUGGAAUACAAAAACCUAAAGCUUUAUCCUAUGAUUGGUCAGGUCUAGAAAACAAAGGCUAGUAACUAAAAAUCAGCUUUGAUUUUUGUUACUUUGAUUUUUCAUUAUUUACAAGUUUAUCUUAUCAUUUUUCUUACAAAGUAAAACAGAAAAUGUAAUAAUUAACAAUAAAGAGCGUUUGACCAACCUUCCAUAUCCCAUCACUUGCCAGAAU